RNAcentral lists this ribosomal RNA (492 nucleotides) under uncultured bacterium. RNAcentral describes it as "partial 16S ribosomal RNA". It matches the Rfam family "Bacterial small subunit ribosomal RNA", at positions 29 to 507 of the family's 1533-position model. The record is from RNAcentral.
AGUGAACGCUGGCGGUAGGCCUAACACAUGCAAGUCGAACGGCAGCACAGUAAGAGCUUGCUCUUACGGGUGGCGAGUGGCGGACGGGUGAGGAAUACAUCGGAAUCUACUUUUUCGUGGGGGAUAACGUAGGGAAACUUACGCUAAUACCGCAUACGACCUACGGGUGAAAGCAGGGGAUCUUCGGACCUUGCGCGAUUGAAUGAGCCGAUUUCGGAUUAGCUAGUUGGCGGGGUAAAGGCCCACCAAGGCGACGAUCCGUAGCUGGUCUGAGAGGCUGGUCAGCCACACUGGAACUGAGACACGGUCCAGACUCCUACGGGAGGCAGCAGUGGGGAAUAUUGGACAAUGGGCGAAAGCCUGAUCCAGCCAUACCGCGUGGGUGAAGAAGGCCUUCGGGUUGUAAAGCCCUGUUGUUGGGAAAGAAAAGCAGCAGGUUAAUACCCCGCUGUUCUGACGGUACCCAAAGAAUAAGCACCGGCUAACUUCGUG